RNAcentral lists this long non-coding RNA (579 nucleotides) under Hordeum vulgare. RNAcentral describes it as "long non-coding RNA (HVUL_LNC017553)". Lineage: Eukaryota; Viridiplantae; Streptophyta; Magnoliopsida; Poales; Poaceae. The record is from RNAcentral.
CUAUAAUGAACUGCGACACCCGGAUGUCGACGCAGCGUAGAGAAAGAUCACCUGUUCACAAGUUUAGCUGCCUCGGAUACAAUGACAGCAGAAAAAACUCGGCAACACUCGUGUUUCUUCUGCUUGCUAAAUUUGCUCUGUUCCCCUGACAGGGCAGGGGUAACCCCUGUCAAUUUUUGAUCUCCAAUGGCUGGACAAUUUUGUAGUGAUACUCGUCAUAGUACUCGCUGUAGUGCCGCCCUUCUGACAUUCAUCAGUGUCAUGCGAUUGCCACUGCGACAAAGCAUUUCACUGUAGGGAUUCCUGCAAUGAGUUGAUGAUCCUGCAAUUUUUUUCAGAUCAUGCAUUUUAUCAUAACUGGAAAAUGUAGUGUUUUCAGUUAUGCUGUUUUGUGUGUCGGCCAAGGGAGCAGGAAAGGGAUUUCUAAUGUGUGAACAAGAUUCAGAUUUUAUCCAGGAGCUGUACAUGAAAGCUACGUAGUUUGUAAACAUUACACCUGUUUACACGGAAUUUUUGUUUGGUUAGGCUUUUCCUUGGCUUUUGCACUUUGGCUUAUAACCAAAAAAAGCUCCUAUUUAG